GAUCUGGCUCAGGACGAACGCUGGCGGCGUGCCUAACACAUGCAAGUCGAACGGAACUUCUUUAAAGGAUUUCUUCGGAAUGAAUUUGAUUAAGUUUAGUGGCGGACGGGUGAGUAACGCGUGAGUAACCUGCCUCUAAGAGGGGAAUAACAUUCUGAAAAGAAUGCUAAUACCGCAUAAUAUAUAUUUAUCGCAUGGUAGAUAUAUCAAAGAUUUAUCGCUUAGAGAUGGACUCGCGUCCGAUUAG
This 247-nucleotide ribosomal RNA is filed under the name uncultured bacterium. Its description in RNAcentral is "partial 16S ribosomal RNA". It matches the Rfam family "Bacterial small subunit ribosomal RNA", at positions 15 to 244 of the family's 1533-position model. The record is from RNAcentral.